UACAGGGGGGGCAAGCGUUGUUCGGAAUUACUGGGCGUAAAGGGCCAGUAGGCGGCCAACUAAGUCACACGUGAAAUCCCCAGGCUUAACCUGGGAACUGCGUGUGAUACUGGAUGGCUUGAAUUCGGGAGAGGGAUGCAGAAUUCCAGGUGUAGCGGUGAAAUGCGUAGAUAUCGGAAGGAACACCUGUGGCGAAAGCGGCUCACUGGACCAUUACUGACGCUGAUGCACGAAAGCUAGGGGAGCAAACAGG
This 253-nucleotide ribosomal RNA is filed under the name uncultured bacterium. RNAcentral's name for it is "partial 16S ribosomal RNA". It matches the Rfam family "Bacterial small subunit ribosomal RNA", at positions 524 to 776 of the family's 1533-position model. The record is from RNAcentral.